This 253-nucleotide ribosomal RNA is filed under the name uncultured bacterium. RNAcentral describes it as "partial 16S ribosomal RNA". It matches the Rfam family "Bacterial small subunit ribosomal RNA", at positions 524 to 776 of the family's 1533-position model. The record is from RNAcentral.
UACGGAGGGGGCUAGCGUUGUUCGGAAUUACUGGGCGUAAAGCGCGCGUAGGCGGACCUGCAAGUCGGGGGUGAAAGCCCGAGGCUCAACCUCGGAACUGCCUUCGAUACUGCGGGUCUCGAGUCCGGGAGAGGUGAGUGGAAUUCCUAGUGUAGAGGUGAAAUUCGUAGAUAUUAGGAAGAACACCAGUGGCGAAGGCGGCUAACUGGUCCAGUACUGACGCUGAGGUGCGAAAGCGUGGGGAGCAAACAGG